RNAcentral lists this ribosomal RNA (705 nucleotides) under Trionymus palauensis. RNAcentral describes it as "partial 28S ribosomal RNA". It matches the Rfam family "Eukaryotic large subunit ribosomal RNA", at positions 403 to 918 of the family's 3401-position model. The record is from RNAcentral. Lineage: Eukaryota; Metazoa; Arthropoda; Insecta; Hemiptera; Pseudococcidae.
AACCGUUCGGGGGGAAACGGACAGAGCUCGUGAAUCCGGGUGGUGGAAUUCAGAAUUUGCAACGUUUACGCGUUGCAGGCUCGAUAUUUCCAUCACCAUAUUUCGGACGUCGCGACCCGUUUGGUGUUGGUUUGAGGAGACGUGUAAAAGUUCGCUGRUGUAUUGGACUUGUCCAGUAUGUUGACGAGUGCGCGUUUUAUUCUGACUAACUUGCCAGACGGUAUGUAAUGGUGGUCGCAAUAGUCUUAGCAUURUUGUCGAUACCUGUCUGCGACGAAUCUUCGAGUCUCUUUCCGACCCGUCUUGAAACACGGACCAAGGAGUCUAACAUGCGCGCGAGUCGCGGGGUAUCAAGCAAUUGGUGUUCGCAUUGGUUGCUUGUUAUAAUACGAAACCCGUCUCGUUUUACGAAAGGCGCAAUGAAAGUGAAUUUUGGGGAAGAUGACGUUACCGAGUUCACGUUUCAUAUUCUUGUAAUAUGACCGGUCGUCCGCAUUCCCAGGGUGUCUCAAAGUGCGAUUUUAUUGCGGAUUGCUGCUCCCUCGGGGGUAGUGGUCGGGUUUAAUCGAGCUGAGGCGCACCUAUAGCGUGCAUGUUGGUACCCGAAAGAUGGUGAACUAUGCCCGGCCAGGAUGAAGUCAGGGGAAACCCUGAUGGAGGUCCGAAGUGGUUCUGACGUGCAAAUCGAUCGUAUGAGCUGGGUAU